UGGGGAAUAUUGCACAAUGGGCGCAAGCCUGAUGCAGCCAUGCCGCGUGUGUGAAGAAGGCCUUCGGGUUGUAAAGCACUUUCAGCGGGGAGGAAGGCGGUGAGGUUAAUAACCUCAUCGAUUGACGUUACCCGCAGAAGAAGCACCGGCUAACUCCGUGCCAGCAGCCGCGGUAAUACGGAGGGUGCAAGCGUUAAUCGGAAUUACUGGGCGUAAAGCGCACGCAGGCGGUCUGUCAAGUCGGAUGUGAAAUCCCCGGGCUCAACCUGGGAACUGCAUUCGAAACUGGCAGGCUAGAGUCUUGUAGAGGGGGGUAGAAUUCCAGGUGUAGCGGUGAAAUGCGUAGGGAUCUGGAGGAAUACCGGUGGCGAAGGCGGCCCCCUGGACAAAGACUGACGCUCAGGUGCGAAAGCGUGGGGAGCAAACAGG
This 429-nucleotide ribosomal RNA is filed under the name Chloroflexota bacterium. RNAcentral describes it as "Chloroflexi bacterium partial 16S ribosomal RNA". It matches the Rfam family "Bacterial small subunit ribosomal RNA", at positions 355 to 776 of the family's 1533-position model. The record is from RNAcentral. Lineage: Bacteria; Bacillati; Chloroflexota.